Molecule: long non-coding RNA, 2266 nt
Organism: Mugil cephalus (flathead mullet)
Lineage: Eukaryota; Metazoa; Chordata; Actinopteri; Mugiliformes; Mugilidae
Exons: 3
Source: RefSeq, a predicted model, not a curated record
AUCAUAAAAGCAGAGUUGCCUUUUCCAGUCCUCAGAGCUGCAUCAUGAUGGAGAGGAUCUUGCUGGGUGUCUUGUGUCUCUCAGGUCAGUGUUAUGUUGGUGUUAACAUUAGGAAGUGAAUAUCACUGAGUAAUGCUGGGUAAUACAUGGUUAGUGUGGAGCCUUUUUACAUUUACAAAGACGUUGAUGGUUUUACUGUGGGUUUUUUUUUCUUUCUCACAGGGCAGCUCAUCCUUAGCACAUGCCUUGUCCGUCAGUACCACUUUGUUAAUGAGUCCUUGAGUUGGAACGAUGCUGCUGCCUACUGCAACAAAACCUACACAGACCUGGCCUCCAUUGAGAACAGUACAGAAAUGAACCAACUUAUCCAAACAGUUUCAUCUGCUGGUCACAACUCUGAGGUCUGGAUUGGUGCUCGCAAUUCUUUCUACUCGUAUUGGACAAAUUAUAUUGGUGGUGAAUUUUGGAGCUGGGAAAAACAAGCUCGAGAUGAACCUUCCUCAGUCUAUUAUAUCUGCACUAGCUCAAUAAACAGUGGAAUAUGGUACUAUGGUAACUGCUUUGUAGAACGUCCAUUUAUCUGUAAUAAUGGAGCAGAACAUGUUUAUGUGAAUGAACCAAUGGAUUUGUUCAGAGCUUUGAGGUACUGCAGGGAGAACUUCACAGACCUGCUCCACACAUGGUUUAAUGAGAAUUAUCAGUUGAUUCCAAGUGGAAGUCAAGCUUGGAUCGGCUAUUUCACAUAUACUCAGAUUAACUGGAAUGAUGGCAGUGGGUCAUCAUUUAAAUACUGGGAUGACGUUCCAGAAACACUUGAGUAUUUGAAUAAGCAGUGUGUAGCGGCAGAUUUGCAGAGAUCAGGAAAAUGGAGGCCACUGAGAUGUGACGAUAAACGACCAUUUGUCUGCUACACUAUGCAAAAGAAUCCUGUGACAGAACCCACUCUGAAAAAAACACAUAAAAAGUGAUUAAGCUGAGGAUGAAGGUGGAAGAUCCCUCUGUGGAUGGGAAUGACCCUGCAGUGGAAGCAGACCUACUGAAAAAGGCUAGUCUCCAAAAUGUAUCCUUCAACCAUUUAAAUAUCUAAUAUAUAAAAUAUAACAUACAGCAGCCAUUGUGAUCUCUAAAUAAUUUAGUUUGUGGUGACACACAGUGAAAGGUUACACCAGGAACACAACACAGUGAGACAAGAGGACUAUUUUUAUUCUAUUAUUGUGUGUCUCCCAGCUCCAGGAGAAAGUAAAGGACAAAGGACUGAACCUGAAGUGGAGAGAGCAGCCUGAUGGGAAAGUCUUCCACAAGGAGACAGAGAAGAAGAAGAAUUCAGAGCUUUGAAAUUCAAAUCCAACUUUACUUCUGUUUGUUUGAAACAGUGCAUCAGUGCAUAUUUGAAUCUGCAGAUCUGCAUACUGUGUCAACACCCUGUCAGUGUUUGUUCAUGCAAAUGAUACAGGUUUAUACCUGUACAUCUGACACAUGUCUUUGUAACUGGCCAAAAAUGCUCCUAAGUGGGUCCAUGUGAUGUUUUGCAUGAAGGCAGCAACAGACCAUUGGUCUUUUAGACAUCUAACAUCUAACAGUCUUCACCUAGGUGGCUUAAAUACAGGUGAUACAAACUUUAAAUUUGAAUUAAAUUGUUUUAAAGAAGUUGUUACCUCACUGAGUAGUAGUCCACUCCGUGUCCUGCAGCUCCUCAUCUAACAGCUCACUGCAGAUGCUCCUUCUUGUUCCAUUACUCCCUGAAAUGCUUCAAACUGAUCCAUCGUCAAAAAAAUGUGAUCAAAAUUGUUUCAUCGUGUUGUUUUUGUCAGACACACAGCAUGACGUGUAAAGACCAUUCACUGUAUAAAUAUGCACGACAUGUCUUACUUCCUUGCAUUGGUGAAACUCAAGCUAUUUUCCCAGGAAUAUGGACGACACCAUCUUGCGAGUUUGGAGCCAGAGUCUGAUCAGUUCGGUCCGAGAGUGAAGCUGGUCUAGUAUAGGCAAAUGCUGCAUCUGCUGAAGUUUUUUUUCGUUGUUUUGUUUUUUUAGCCAACAGCCUACUGCUAAUACUACUAUGUACUUUUACUAUGUACUUCUAUUUAUUUCGUAAUAUUACCAAACUCCACUAUAAUUUACCCAAAUAUCAGUGAAGAGUUAGUUGUUGCAGUCCUGCGCUUAAAUGAUGUUGUAUUUUAUGCUACUUAAUCUCUUUUGCCGUUGCCAUUAUACACUGUUCAUGGUUUGACAUCCAAGUGUGAAAUAAAGUGAAGUUGGAUUGAAA